This 309-nucleotide ribosomal RNA is filed under the name uncultured eukaryote. RNAcentral's name for it is "partial 18S ribosomal RNA". It matches the Rfam family "Eukaryotic small subunit ribosomal RNA", at positions 1470 to 1796 of the family's 1831-position model. The record is from RNAcentral.
CCCUUAGAUGUUCUGGGCGGCCCGCGCACUACAUUGGCACUAGCAAAGAGAUCCUAGAUUGAAUUCUUUGGGGUAUCCUUCUAAAUGGUGUCGUGACUGGGAUAAAUCCUUGUAAUUAUUGGUUUUGAACGAGGAAUUCCUUGUAAUCGCGGUUUAUCAGCUCGCGUUGAAUGCGUCCCUGCCCUUUGUACACACCGCCCGUCGCUCCUACCGAUGGAUCGUCCGGUGAAGCUCACGGAGUGACUGUUCACGCAACGGUUUACGAAGUGAAAUGGACCUCACGAUUUAGAGGAAGGAGAAGUCGUAACA